CCAAGUAUUUGAAUUAGUGGCCUGAUUCCAAAUAUAACUUUACAUGCAAGGUCAGGAAUCCUAAUACCUCUCUAUUAGAGUCUCAAACGGACGGAGCCAUAGGUUACAACAUCCUAAUGCUGCAUAGACCAAAAUGAAAUGGCUCAUGUGGAGCAAGCUUACAUGCUCCAUUUACUGUACCAACGCGACCACCAGCACUUUUUUCAUUUUUAGCAUCCGUGUUCUUUUGUUGUAUGUGUGUUUUCUUGGCUUAUAGCGAUCAAUCUGCAUGCCAGAGUCACGCGACAAGAAAAAAGUCUGAUACUAAUUGAAGUAGAAACUGAAUUAUAACAAUAUCUUCAUAGCAGAGCAGUAUGUUCAAUCUCUAAUGUACGAGUUACUGCAUUUCUCUCAUCCUUCUCUGCAUGCCAUCAAAACUGAACUUGGCUUGCGCAACUGUUUAUUUCCGGUGCUGUUUCAGACCCCUGAGGUCCAUAGACAGUGAUGCCAGCGGGAGAUUUCUUGUCUUUUAAUCUUGAUUCCUUUAGAAUUUCUUCCCCGAGCAUUUCUUGGUAUGGAGGGCUGGUCAUGAGCUGAUGAUUCAACACCAAGACAUGAAUUCAGGUGCAGUUUCGUUCUUCGGGCGCUACCUGGUGAAUCUCUGUUUGGAGAAUCCAUUGAAUUGUUUGAAGAGCAGAGGUGCCUGGAAUGCUUUGAUGGGGAAUUUAAAGGUAAGCCUGUACCGGUGAAUGUUUGACUCGUAGAAUGCCUCGAUCCAUCAAUGCUUCUCCGAUGUGGGGAAUUCAAGGGUGAGUCUGCACCACUUGAUGGGUAUCUCGACUUCCGCUUUGGCUUUUCAACCUGGCUUAUAUCUAUUACAGGUAACAAAUAUCAGCAAAUUAAGUGAAACUUUCCCAAAAACUGAUUAGAGGCCAAGUCUGUUCAAUCUAAACAAGCAAACCUGGUGAGGGUGGAAGCAUUGAAAGGUUUCUGGAGAAGAUCGGAAUUCAUUCAUCCAGCUUGGUUUGGAGGCAGAUGGACCAGCCCAUCCAAUAUGAGCAACAAGGAAACCCAAUUUGCAUUUCUGGUUCUUCUAAUCUUAUGAAGCGUUUAAAUCAUCCAUUCCAACACUAGCCUGCAUCAAUGAAUUUGAAUUGGUAAGCAUAAAGCUAGCAUUUAAAAAUCAUGGCAAUAUAAAAUGGGGGAAAAUCUCCACCAUUCUACCAAAUUUUCAGACACUUUUCCCCAGACUUAACCCUCAAAAUUCUGAAUUCAACAUUUUUCAAUUCUUUUGAAGUGAAGCAAAUGCUUUUACACAAGUGGCAAGCAUAACUGACCACUCACUAUAUUUUAUUAACGGAAUAGCAGUGCUAUAAGCUUUAAAUUAGGACUGCAAAAAAGAAAAGCAGAAACGACAAGGUCCACAAGUACUCUACUUGCUAUCCUGUAUUGAACUCUCUCAUGACAUUUUACAGUUGCAGUUAAUUUGAAAUGCCAAAGGCGGAAAUAUGGCUGCUCCUAAGAGAAGCUUGUCUUGAACAACAAAAAGGACACACAAAAGAGAGAAAGCAAGCAAUGAAGUUAUCAGGGAUCAAAGACAAAGUCAUUUGUUUUCUAAAAAAUCUUACCAGGAAAUUGUGAUUCUCUUCGAGAAAAGGUGAAAAGUUUGAACAGAAGUUUUCCAUGUCAUCACCAAUAUCACCUGAGCCAGCUAUCACUUCCAUGAACUUCUUCCUAUCUGAAGCGAGUUUCAUAGCAACAGUGAAACUUGAACUAGCAAGCCAGCCGUGAAAUUUUUUCAGCGUCUUGCCAUAGGAAUCUGUACAGGCUUGUGACAUUGUCCAGUCUGCAUAAGCAAGUAAAUUGCGGAACAGUUCCACUAGGAAAUCCAUUGCUCUGAGGAAUCAUAAAAAGACGAUAAAAUUAUGAGAAAUUGUGAAUACGUAGUGAGGUCUGCUUAAUCAUAGAAGCACAGACAAUUGGCAGCAGUUCACUGAAUUUAACCUAAUUUUUUUUUCUGGCUUGCUAAUUCCAAAAUGUUUCGGGUCAAAACAUUGAAGCUAAAGGCUAGCAUUCUUUUCUUCUUAUCUUGUUCCCUGCUUUUAUGCUUGAGCUUGAUCUAACCUACUUUUCAAGAAUAGAAAAUUACACAAUGAUGAACUCUAUACAAAACAUUUUCUUGUAGUUCAUUGGACUUGAAGGAAUUAAAAACUUAAAGCUCCUAACCAUUUUUCACUCAAUAAAUUUCAUGGCACCAAACAAUAUUUCAAUAUUCUUUUAAAAAUUUUACAUACGGAACAAUUAUAACAUUCACUCCAAACAGCCAACUGAAAUUACACAAAGGGUAGAGGAAAAGUUACAUAUUAGCAACAGAAUGCACCUGGUUAGCCAAAGGAGACCAUUGGUACAACUAGAUGAUCCUUUGGCCGUUUUAGCAUCAAUCUCCUCUUGAACCAUAGUGUACAAGUGGGUGUAUUUAGUUGGAUCGGAAGAAUAUUUGGCUUCCAACCUCGUUAUGUUACCGCCGAUAUCAGAUUUUACAAGGGCCAUAGCAGCUCCAAACUUAUCGAUAACAGGCAAAAUCAAUUUGCAGACAUCCAAGAAAGGCUUGGUGAGCAUUUCUCCUUGCUCAGAUUUCACAUGUUUCAUUCCUUCCAAUGACGGUGUAAACACUGUUCCCUGAACCGCCAUUUUCUACCUUCACUUUAAAGCGAAAUGAUGAACCAGCAGAGAGAAAGAGAGAGAGCGAGAGAGAAAACG
This 2739-nucleotide unclassified non-coding RNA is filed under the name Hevea brasiliensis (rubber tree). The record is from RNAcentral. Lineage: Eukaryota; Viridiplantae; Streptophyta; Magnoliopsida; Malpighiales; Euphorbiaceae.